GACGAACGCUGGCGGCGUGCCUAACACAUGCAAGUCGAACGGAAAGGCCCUGCGUUUGUGCGGUGCCCGAGUGGCGAACGGGUGAGUAACACGUGAGUAACCUGCCCUUGACUUUGGGAGAACUUCAGGAAACUGGGGCUAAUACCGGAUAGGAGCUCCCGCUGCAGGGUGGGCGUUGGAACGUUUCGGCGGUUGGGGAUGGACUCGCGGCUUAUGAGCUUGCUGGUGGGGUAGUGGCAUACCAAGGCAUUGACGGGUAGCCCGCCUGGGAGGGGGACCGGCCCCGAGGCGCCUGGGAUACGCCCCAGACUGGAACGGUAGGCAACGGGGGCGAGCAUUGCACAGCGGGCGGAAGCCUGUUGCGGAGGCGCCGCGUGCGGGAAGCCGGCCUUCGGGUUGUGAACCGCUGCCGCUUGAUACGAAGCGGUAGUGACGGUAACGGGAGAAGAAGCACCGGCUAACUACGUG
RNAcentral lists this ribosomal RNA (468 nucleotides) under uncultured bacterium. RNAcentral's name for it is "partial 16S ribosomal RNA". It matches the Rfam family "Bacterial small subunit ribosomal RNA", at positions 28 to 507 of the family's 1533-position model. The record is from RNAcentral.